This 391-nucleotide ribosomal RNA is filed under the name uncultured Chrysophyceae. RNAcentral's name for it is "partial small subunit ribosomal RNA". It matches the Rfam family "Eukaryotic small subunit ribosomal RNA", at positions 30 to 432 of the family's 1831-position model. Lineage: Eukaryota; Chrysophyceae. The record is from RNAcentral.
GCUUGUCUCAAAGAUUAAGCCAUGCAUGUCUAAGUAUAAGCAUUAUACAGUGAAACUGCGAAUGGCUCAUUAUAUCAGUUAUAGUUUAUUUGAUAGUCCCUACUACUUGGAUAACCGUAGUAAUUCUAGAGCUAAUACAUGCGUCAAACCUCGACUUCUGGGAGAGGUGUAUUUAUUAGAUGGAAACCAAUGCGGGGCAACCCGGAUUAUGGUGAUUCAUAAUAACUUUCAGAUCGAUCGCAAGAUCGAUGCAUCAUUCAAGUUUCUGCCCUAUCAGCUUUGGAUGGUAGGGUAUUGGCCUACCAUGGCUUUAACGGGUAACGGAGAAUUAGGGUUCGAUUCCGGAGAGGGAGCCUGAGAAACGGCUACCACAUCCAAGGAAGGCAGCAGG